This is a non-coding RNA of Linepithema humile (Argentine ant), 706 nucleotides long. NCBI's taxonomy places the organism in Eukaryota, Metazoa, Arthropoda, Insecta, Hymenoptera, Formicidae. The record is from RefSeq and is a predicted model, not a curated record.
UCUAAUUAUUAUCUAAAUCUCAUUUUUUUUUUAAAUUGUGUAAUAUAUCAAUGUUUAUGAAUGAUGAUUUUUUUCCACCAAGAUCUAUGAAUGCCAUGAUUAAUAUAGUAUUUGCUAUCUGAUUAUUAUUUACAAUAACUUGAAAUUUAAAUAGAAAAGUAACAAUAAGAUUAAUAAAAUUUAAUAAUUUUUUUGUUUGGAUUGCUGUGAUAUUACAUUUUAUAACGGAGAAACCUGUAUCUUUCAAAACUCUCUAAGACUUCUGAUCUUCCGGAUAUUUCGAGAAAGCAGUUGGUAACAAUUCAUUUGUUGCACACCUAUCAGGAUUAAUGUUAAAAUUAGACAAGUAAGUAAUUAUGUAUAUAUUUAUUGAUUUCUUUAGCAGUUACAAAAUUAUUCACCUAGAAAUAGAUCAGUAUUAGAAUCUAUUAUAAUAACGGUGUAUUUGACAAUAAAAUUGUUACACAUUUAUGUGUUACUGAUCAUAUUUAACUAGAGGCUAUUUUAAAAUUUAACUAUUUUCCUAUUUAAGAUUGCGUGGUUAUAAACGUUAGCAUAGAGAAGCAAUUUUAUAAUUAUAUACAACUGAAAGUGAAUCAUUAUAUGGGUUAUUAAAUGUGUUGUUACGAAUAUUAUGAGCUGUUCAGCUAAACGUUUUGCUGAAGCCUUUCCGUAUUUUUUAUUAAGUUUACGAUAUUAGAUGGAA